UACAGAGGUCUCAAGCGUUGUUCGGAUUCAUUGGGCGUAAAGGGUGCGUAGGCGGCGCGGUAAGUCGGGUGUGAAAUCUCGGAGCUUAACUCCGAAACUGCAUUCGAUACUGCCGUGCUUGAGGACUGGAGAGGAGACGUGGAAUUUACGGUGUAGCGGUGAAAUGCGUAGAUAUCGUGAAGGAAGACCAGUGGCGAAGG
Molecule: ribosomal RNA, 200 nt
Filed under: uncultured bacterium
Lineage: Bacteria
Description: partial 16S ribosomal RNA
Rfam family: Bacterial small subunit ribosomal RNA
Source: RNAcentral